CAGCGAGAAGCUACGCAGUCGUUAGCUGUUCCAUCGCUGCCGUGGCUGGUUAACCGUCAGAGAUGGCUUAGCGGCGGAUUCAGGUGGGAAUGAGAGAAGAAAUCGGCCACAUACCUACGAAGAAUAAUUGCGACGUCUGCUUAAGGUUCGCGCCGGUAGCAGUGCAGCGCUCGCGAGGUGGAAAGGCUAUCCGUGCAGCGCAGUCUCGACAGCGAGGAGCGUUGUGCAGCCUCUACAGCGGUCGGCGGCGGCCAGAUGAGGUGGAGGUGAGGCAAGGACUGGUUUGUCCAGUGGCGCUGGACCCGCGUCACCGUGUUUACGGCGCUACUCUCCUGGAGGAGGGGAGAGUGGGGACAGAAAACACUCCUUGCAGCGACACAUCGAAAACAAGUCCUAGGCUCGACGGUGACAGCAAGCUAUGUUUCGGGGAUGGAAGACAGAGCUCUUGGAUCGGCGCCUGGUAACUGGUACACUUUUCUCGGAAGAACAACACUGUGACGUUGUAAGAAGCGGAACGUGGUAGGUGGCGGACUCACUCACCUAUGGAGAGCGCGAUCAAGUGCUUGUCGGGGUUGGGCUGUAUGGCCAGCUCCUCGACGAUCUUGCGCAGUGGGUUGUGCGUCCUGCGCGCCACGCAGGAGGCGGGCACGCACGCCCAGCCGCCUCGCUGCGGCUGCUGCUGCGGCUGCUGUGGCUCCAUGGCACACGGGCUGUGGCGGGCGGCUCUCCGGGCGGCCGCUUAUAUCGCGGGCAGCCGCCUCAGCCGGCAGCGGCCGGCCCAGCCCAGCCUCGCUGCGCCGCCUCCGGGCCCCGCGACGCCGCACCGUCGCAGCCACCACGAGCGCUGCCGACCACACGCGCACCUCAGCCCUUUCCUCAAAAUACGGACAUUUACACAGCUGGCAAUCAAAAGUGAAACACCGUUCAACAACUAACGUCAAAUGUACACGAAGUGGUCUGCUUGUUUGGGUACGCACGUGAUUAGCAUUUCAGCGCAGCCGCACUAACGAGAAGAACACUGCAAGUGCCAGAACGCGAUUUCCCAGAAACUUCGCGCAGUGAAAGAGGGGUCAAAAUAAGCGAUUAUGUGUAUCGGCUUAUCCGUAGGCCGGCAGGAGUGGCCGAGCGGUUCUAGGCCCUUCAGUCUGGAACAACGCGACCGCUACCGUCGCUGGUUCGAAUCCUGCCUCGGGCAUGGAUGUGUGUGAUGUCCUUAGGUUAGUUAGGUUUAAGUAGUUCUAAGUUCUAGGGGACUGAUGACCUCAGAUGUUAAGUCCCGUAGUGCUCAGAGCCAUUUGAACCAUUUUUUGAGGUUAUCCGUAGACUCGAUUGUUUUUGGCGAAAACAAGAUCACAGUUUUCGGUUUAUUUUAUGUGCCUUUCGGCUAGUAAACAGUCCAACCGAAGCGGUGGCGUAGCGUCUGACGUCGCGGCUUCACCUGAUUAUUAUUUUUUCUCUGUUUUUCAUUUAUCGACUCCUGACCGUAGAAGAUUAGUACACGAAUAUCUUCCAGUGUAUAUUGAAAUAAUGUAGUCCCAAUUCACUUAUUAACUAUAAGUAUGAUGAAUGAAUUGAGAAAAAAAGAAACAAUAAAUGAAUGAAAAACUAAAAAUUCCUGGCAGAUUAAAACUGUGUGCCGGACCGAGACUCGAACUCAGGACCUUUGCCUUUCGCGGGCAAGUGCUCUACUGGAAGAAGCACAGAUGUGAGCACGGGGUGUGAGUCUUGCUUGGGUAGCUCAGAUGGUAGAGCACUUGCCCGCGAAAGGCAAAGGUCCCGAGUUCGAUUCUCGAUCCGGCACGCAGUUUUAAUCUGCCAGGAAGUUUCAUAUCAGCGCACACUCCGCUGCAGAGUGAAAAUCUCAUUCUGGAAUGAAAAACUAUUUGAAAUUGUUUUCGGUGAAAUUCCUGUAGUGUAUCUUGAUUCAUAAUCCACUGCGAGCGCUAGUUUUCGGAAAUGUUAUCCGUUAUGCGUGGUUUGGCUCGAUGUUAUUGGUAACGCGCGAAACCUUCAGCAAAGUUAACGACGUUUAUUCCCCGAGUGAACGUCAUGCCAAGAACGUCGCUGUGGCAAACCUGCAUUCGCGUCCUGAUAAUGUCGUGUGGAACCAGUAUCAUCCAAGGAAAUAGAGAAUAAACAGAACAAUGAAAUACAAGAAUUAAGAACUGAUAUAACAAUAAAAUAUAAGAAUAUGAGAAUUUAAAAAGAUUGUAACUUCUGAAAAUACCGUACACGCUAGUACUAUAUAAUAAAUGUUUGACACUAGUUAUGACACCCAGUUAUAAUUUACAAUUAAUAUAACGCCAGUUGCAUCUCUUAAUUUGAUGAGAAACAUUUGUGUAGUAACCUUCUAGGGACAUGGGUAGACAAAUGAAAAAAAAAAUAAUAAUAAAACCAGCAAUCGAGUUUAGAAUACGGGACGCAAGAGUGAGACAAACAGCGGCACUACCCACUAUUCCACCAUUUGGGCUGGGCUUGUCACUCACUAAAGGGCAUCUACAUUACAUCGAAAACUUUGACGAUCGUCUUCGAAGAAACGGUCGAGCAUCUACGGAUAAGCCGGGAUACGUUUUCGUUUAUUUUAGCUUCACUUCCAAGUUUCUGUGAAAUCGGGUUAUCGCACUUGCCGUGUUCGUCAUGGACAGUGCGGCUGGUCCCGCGCGGAGGUUCAAGUCCUCCCUCUGGCAUGGGUGUGUGUGUUUGUAUUUAGGAUAAUUUAGGUUAAGUAGUGUGUAAAAAAAAUGGUUCAAAUGGCUCUGAGCACUAUGGGACUCAACUGCUGUGGUUAUCAGUCCCCUAGAACUUAGAACUACCCAAACCUAACUAACCUAAGGACAUCACACACAUCCAUGCCCGAGGCAGGAUUCGAACCUGCGACCGUAGCAGUCGCACGGUUCCGGACUGCGCGCCUAGAACCGCGAGACCACCGCGGCCGGCUAAGUAGUGUGUAAGCUUAGAGCCUGAUGACCUUAGCAGUUAAGUCCCAUAACAUUUCACACACAUUUGAACAUUUUUUAACUUGCCUAGUUCUCCUCGUAAAUAGGAGUAACACCAUCUACAUUCUGUAUGUAAGAAGAGAUUUUGUGGCACGUUUCUCAUUCGCAGAUCGCAUUUGAAUGUUGAUUGUUUGUGACAACAUCGCAACAUAAUAUGUUCCAGAACGCUGCGCGUAAAAACGACAUUUUUCUGGGGGUCAUAAGUCGGAUCCUAUUAGUUGUAGAAAAUUAGGUUCAAGUGUUUUGGGUAGCCUUUGGGUUAGGGACCAUUUGUAUACCCAACAGAACGAUCGUCUUACUGUAACUAUCCUCUAGAUUAGACAAAUGGAUCAAAUCGCUUGAUUCUUUUUGCCUUAUAUGUGCUCUGUGGUUCACAUCAAGGGACUUAUGGAGGCACCAUUUAAUUCACGGGCGGUUCCUGAGAAAACCCGAAAAACUUGGUUUUUGGGUAACAAAACAGAGACGCGCAUUCCAAGAAGGCUAUGCACAGAAAAUAACUGAAAUUCUUACGAUAUAUUCCCAAGGUCCAGAUGUCGAAUAACCUUGAAGAUUUUCUUGAUGUCUUUAUCCGUUUCCGAGAUACAAAGGUUAAAAGUUACCCUACUUGUACACACAAAAUACGGUGUGAGGCGGAAACCUAGUACAUAAAGUGACGUAUCACUCAGAAAUAUGCUGUAAAGUGUCUGCUUUAUUAUCAGAAGGGUUUUGGAAAUCCGAAGUUGUAUUAUUGCAGCACAUGAAAAAUUUUCCUGUACGUAAAAUCCGGUCUGAGAUGUAAAAUUUUUUCUGCGUUAUUUCAAUUUCACAUAAGUAAACUACCAAAAUUUUACUGACCCACCAAAUUCUUUUCAUGAGGGAGCCAGCAGUAAAAUGCUACUACCGGAGCAGAAAGAAGGCAGAUUACAUGUCAGGAGACAGAGCUCAUAAUGCCACGCUGUGAAACACUUCCUCUUGAAGAUAUUCAUUCACGAUACGAAUACACAGUACGUAUAUUUGUAUUAAGAAUGAAGACAGCUGCGAUGACCAACUAGAUCGUAUCAUUGGCGAGACAGCAUUUGACGGCGAAAUACGACAGAGGAUCACUGAAAGACCGAAGGCAACUCAAACAUCCAUACACCGCUCUAAGUGCCACAUCGUGCAUUCAUUGUCUAUCGCUCAUGUCGGCAGAUCACAGACCAUGUCGCUGUUGGAUAAACCAAAUUUGAAGAAUUAUUGUGGAGAGGACAAUAGGCGUGUCCUAGCAGAACAUGCAGUGCGCACUAAAAGAUUUUUGUGAUCGAUCAGAGAGAUAUAAUUUUGUUGCAGGAGAGGAGUCUCAAGUGGUUGUACCGCAACAUGGCGCCAUCUCCAUAUGCAGCUUGUUCUUCUGUCUUGAAUUAGACGAUCGGAUGCAAAAAUUUCGGUCGAACAUGAAAAUGUGAUGCAUAAUAAGUCCCCAAGAGAACAGACAUCAAAGUUCUUCGGGUCUUUAGUAGAGCCCAUAAUGCUGUUUUUGAAAUGAUGAAUGUACCACUCUGAAAUCACUAAUUGAAUAAAUUAUUACGAGAUUAAAGAUUGCACCAAGGAGUAA
This is an RNA transcript of Schistocerca nitens (vagrant locust), 4566 nucleotides long. RefSeq lists it as uncharacterized. The transcript is spliced from 4 exons. NCBI's taxonomy places the organism in Eukaryota, Metazoa, Arthropoda, Insecta, Orthoptera, Acrididae. The record is from RefSeq and is a predicted model, not a curated record.